RNA transcript from Acanthopagrus latus (yellowfin seabream), 2358 nucleotides. It is a transcript of the gene named butyrophilin-like protein 2, with no coding region annotated. The transcript has 3 exons. NCBI's taxonomy places the organism in Eukaryota, Metazoa, Chordata, Actinopteri, Spariformes, Sparidae. The record is from RefSeq and is a predicted model, not a curated record.
AGCCAGCAAACUCUACCUGGGUACUGUCAUGAAAUAGUGAGGGAUUUCGGGAGUUCACCGAAAUCUGAAGCUACUGUUUAAUCCAAACAGACUGAAAAUGUGAUAUCUUUCUGACGCGUUCGACUUUAAAUCACCGUCGAACUGGACACAGAUAGUGAAGUUUAUGACAUAUUAACUUAAUGACAAAUUGAAGUACUAAGUUGUUGGAACUGGACGUGUUACCUGAAGACUCUUGGCUGAAAGGGAGAAGAUGAUCUGCAGGAUCCUGCUGCUCAUCAGCCUCAACUGUGUCUGUGGUCAGUUUACAGCUUCACUUUCUGACUCUGUGAUUCAAUGAAGCAGUUAAAGUGGCCACAUGAACAUUUGUAGUGAAUGUGACACAGACGUCCUAUCAGGCAGAGGAGAACCACAACAUCACACUGGAGUGGACAUUCACAACCACAGCUGACACUCCCACAGACUCACUUCAUAUCUUCUGUGAGAUGAAAAGUAAUCAGACAGUCUCAGUCUUGUUUGAAAUACGUGGAGGUGUUGAGAUCCCAGAGUCUCAGGAUCAACAGUUUGUAGGACGAGUCCAGUGGGACAAAGACGUCCUCAGAGACGGACGACUCAGACUUCAUGUGUCCAGACUCAGGACUGAGGACUCAGGACGGUACCUGUGUGAUGUGGAGACACACUAUGAUGGAGGCUCGGGUGAAUGUCGGCUCAACGUCUCUGGUAAGUUGGUUGAGUAGAAGUCAGUAGAACUUUAUCAACAGGUUCAAUUCAGCAGCUUUGUUGGAUCAAUAAGAAGCUGAAGAAAAGUUUUGAGGACGACCACAAUCCUUCACUUCAUUCUCACAGUAUCUGAGAAAUGUGUCACAACUUCAUCUGUUCUGUUGUUUUGGUCUCUUUACAGCAGCGAGAGAUCAACCAGAACCUGAGAGAUCCAAGCCAGCAAGUCGAGGAAGGAUCGUCCUCUGCUGUGUUCCGGUACUGACAGCAGCAGUUGUAGUUGGGUUGUUUGUUCAUAAAGUGUGUUGCUGAUGAACUAAAGUCCUUUAACUGAUGAACAACAAUAAUGGAGUUGAAGGAGGAAACAUUGUUCUUCACCUUCAUGUUGUCAGUAUUUUUAAAGGACGUCUCAUCAAACUCUGUCUUUCAUUGGACUGAUCUGAGAUCUGCUGUGUGUUAUUUUACAGAAGUAAUGCUGAGAAGCAUGUUGUCUUUGUAUACCGUAUACGUGAUGUUUUUUGUGUAUGUACCAUUUAUAUUUUGCAUUUAAAAAUGUCACAUUAUGCUUUUAGGGUUUUUGCCGUUCCUUAAUUUUGUUAUAGAGCAUUUUUGCACAUGUACAAUGUCUGCAAAGUGAAAAAGCUUAAAGUCCAGGUUACAGGGAGUUAAAACUCUGCUCCUGCACUGCCUGAAGCUGCUGGUCUGGAGUCGAGCCUUUACCUUUACAUUUGUUAUAGCAUAUCCUCACUCCAGUCGGUUAGCAGGCAUACAGUUGCUAUGGCUGUAUCUCCGUAAUUUUAGAUCACACUACCUUGUUUGGCAUGACCCACCCUACUCCGACUCUGAUUGGCUACAUCCUGCCAGAUGGAACAGAGAUGCGAUGUCUCACUCUGUUGCUAAAACUUUUAGCUGUGUGAAGCUUUGUUAGCACUGUGAACACGAAAAGGGAGGCUGCAGCGUGAGAAAAUUAUAAUAUGACCUCUUUAGAGCACAGUUAUUUUUAUAUGAUAUUAUUACAAUAUAUAUAUUACAAUUAUUAACAUCAGUGUUAUUAUUAUUAUUAUUAUUAUUAUUGUUAUUAUUAUUAUUGUUUUUAUUGUUCUUAUUAUUAUUAUUAGCAUUAUUAGUAUUAUUAUUAUUAUUAUCCUUGUCUGGACUCCAGCAGGGUGUAUUGAUCUCUCUGUUCUGAUGUGUCAUGAACACUGACUUUUUUUUCUCUUCCAUCAACUGAAAACAAAUGUUGUUACAGUGUUGUUACGUUCCUCUUCUGUUCUGACAUCCUGUAAACUGUCAGACUGUCCAGAUGUUUCCUACAGCUGUAACUCUCACUGAGCUUCAACAUUUCCUUGUUGUGCUCAGCAGAGGGAGCUCUUUAUCUUUGUCACCAGUUGACACAUCCUCACCUGGCUGCAGGUGACAGCUGAGAUCAUUUGGACCUUCAGGUUGUUGAAAUGUGACUGAAGGUCACAAAGACGUUCACAUGUUGUGUUUUAUCUGUGAUAUUUGAUUUAAAUGUGACUUCUGACUCAGUUUGUCUCACAUUUCUUGAAUAUUUCAGUAAAUCAGUGUCACAGAUGAAGAUGUUUGACCUGAUUAAUUCACAACUCCUGAAUAAAAGUCCAGAUGUUUCAGCUCUGACUUGUU